RNAcentral lists this transfer RNA (88 nucleotides) under Cellvibrionaceae bacterium. RNAcentral describes it as "tRNA-Ser". It matches the Rfam family "tRNA". Rfam says of the family: Transfer RNA (tRNA) molecules are approximately 80 nucleotides in length. Their secondary structure includes four short double-helical elements and three loops (D, anti-codon, and T loops). RNAcentral also lists the same sequence under 2 other names. The record is from RNAcentral. Lineage: Bacteria; Pseudomonadati; Pseudomonadota; Gammaproteobacteria; Cellvibrionales; Cellvibrionaceae.
GGUGAGGUGGCCGAGUGGUCGAAGGCGCACGCCUGGAAAGUGUGUAACGGGCAACCGUUCGAGGGUUCAAAUCCCUCCCUCACCGCCA